GAUGAACGCUGGCGGCGUGCCUAAUACAUGCAAGUCGAGCGAACGGACGAGGAGCUUGCUUCUCUGAUGUUAGCGGCGGACGGGUGAGUAACACGUGGAUAACCUACCUAUAAGACUGGGAUAACUUCGGGAAACCGGAGCUAAUACCGGAUAAUAUUUUGAACCGCAUGGUUCAAUAGUGAAAGACGGUCUUGCUGGCACUUAUAGAUGGAUCCGCGCUGCAUUAGCUAGUUGGUAAGGUAACGGCUUACCAAGGCAACGAGGCGUAGCCGACCUGUGAGGGGGAUCGGCCACCCUGGAGCGGGGACACGGACCAGACGCCUACGGGAGGCAGCAGUAGGGAAUCUUCCGCAAUGGGCGAAAGCCUGACGGAGCAACGCCGCGUGAGUUAUGAAGGUCUUCGGAUCGUAAAACUCUGUUAUUAGGGAAGAACAUAUGUGUAAGUAACUGUGCACAUCUUGACGGUACCUAAUCAGAAAGCCACGGCUAACUACGUG
Molecule: ribosomal RNA, 497 nt
Filed under: uncultured bacterium
Lineage: Bacteria
Description: partial 16S ribosomal RNA
Rfam family: Bacterial small subunit ribosomal RNA
Source: RNAcentral